CACGUAGGGGGCGAGCGUUGUCCGGAUUUAUUGGGCGUAAAGAGCUCGUAGGCGGCUCGGUAAGUCGGGUGUGAAACCUCCAGGCUCAACCUGGAGACGCCACUCGAUACUGCCGUGGCUAGAGUCCGGUAGAGGAGCGUAGAAUUCCUGGUGUAGCGGUGAAAUGCGCAGAUAUCAGGAGGAAUACCAGCGGCGAAGGCGGCGCUCUGGGCCGGUACUGACGCUGAGGAGCGAAGGCCAGGGGAGCAAACGGG
Molecule: ribosomal RNA, 254 nt
Filed under: uncultured bacterium
Lineage: Bacteria
Description: partial 16S ribosomal RNA
Rfam family: Bacterial small subunit ribosomal RNA
Source: RNAcentral